RNAcentral lists this ribosomal RNA (430 nucleotides) under uncultured beta proteobacterium. RNAcentral's name for it is "bacterial SSU rRNA". It matches the Rfam family "Bacterial small subunit ribosomal RNA", at positions 1070 to 1500 of the family's 1533-position model. Lineage: Bacteria; Pseudomonadati; Pseudomonadota; Betaproteobacteria. The record is from RNAcentral.
UACUGUCGUUUAAUGGACGCAUCAAAGGUCACCCCUUGUCAAUAAUUGUUACGGUAACGGCACUCCUAGUGAGUCCUGCCGGUGACAAACCGGAGGAAGGUGGGGACCACGUCAAGUCGUGAUGGCCCUUAUGGGUAGGGCUUCACACGUCAUACAAUGGCGCAUACAGAGGGCUGCCAACCCGCGAGGGGGAGCCAAUCCCAGAAAGUGCGUCGUAGUCCGGAUUGCAGUCUGCAACUCGACUGCAUGAAGUCGGAAUCGCUAGUAAUCGCGGAUCAGCAAUGUCGCGGUGAAUACGUUCCCGGGUCUUGUACACACCGCCCGUCACACCAUGGGAGUGGGUUUCACCAGAAGCCGGUUGCCUAACCUGCGAGGGGGGGCGCUGACCACGGUGAGAUUCAUGACUGGGGUGAAGUCGUAACAAGGUAAG